RNAcentral lists this RNase P RNA (331 nucleotides) under bovine gut metagenome. RNAcentral describes it as "Bacterial RNase P class A". It matches the Rfam family "Bacterial RNase P class A". Rfam says of the family: Ribonuclease P (RNase P) is a ubiquitous endoribonuclease, found in archaea, bacteria and eukarya as well as chloroplasts and mitochondria. The record is from RNAcentral.
UAAAUGGUCGCAGAUGUGAAUCGAAAGGUUGCAUCUGAGGAAAGUCCGGGCCCCAUAGAGCAAAGAUGCUUGAUAACGUCAAGUGAGGGUAACCUUAAGGAAAGUGCAACAGAAAAUAACCGCCUCUUCUGAGGUAAGGGUGAAAAGGCGAGGCAAGAGCUCACCGUAAGAAUAGUGAUAUUCUUAGCCGUGUAAACCCCAUCUGGAGCAACACCGAGACUAGGAGGAUAAGACUGCUCGUCAUCUCCUUAAUUUGGUGGCAUGAGCCAAGUAGCAAUAUUUGGCCUAGAUAAAUGGCCAUUCUCGACAGAACCCGGCUUAUAGAUUUGCU